This 632-nucleotide ribosomal RNA is filed under the name Vibrio sp. MC11. RNAcentral's name for it is "bacterial SSU rRNA". It matches the Rfam family "Bacterial small subunit ribosomal RNA", at positions 55 to 675 of the family's 1533-position model. Lineage: Bacteria; Pseudomonadati; Pseudomonadota; Gammaproteobacteria; Vibrionales; Vibrionaceae. The record is from RNAcentral.
AUGCAGUCGAGCGGUAACAGGAAGAAAGCUUGCUUUCUUUGCUGACGAGCGGCGGACGGGUGAGUAAUGCCUAGGAAAUUGCCCUGAUGUGGGGGAUAACCAUUGGAAACGAUGGCUAAUACCGCAUAAUCUCUUCGGAGCAAAGAGGGGGACCUUCGGGCCUCUCGCGUCAGGAUAUGCCUAGGUGGGAUUAGCUAGUUGGUGAGGUAAUGGCUCACCAAGGCGACGAUCCCUAGCUGGUCUGAGAGGAUGAUCAGCCACACUGGAACUGAGACACGGUCCAGACUCCUACGGGAGGCAGCAGUGGGGAAUAUUGCACAAUGGGCGCAAGCCUGAUGCAGCCAUGCCGCGUGUAUGAAGAAGGCCUUCGGGUUGUAAAGUACUUUCAGUCGUGAGGAAGGCAUCAACGUUAAUAGCGUUGGUGUUUGACGUUAGCGACAGAAGAAGCACCGGCUAACUCCGUGCCAGCAGCCGCGGUAAUACGGAGGGUGCGAGCGUUAAUCGGAAUUACUGGGCGUAAAGCGCAUGCAGGUGGUUCGUUAAGUCAGAUGUGAAAGCCCGGGGCUCAACCUCGGAAUUGCAUUUGAAACUGGCGGACUAGAGUACUGUAGAGGGGGGUAGAAUUUCAGGUG